UAAAUAUUUUAUUUUAAUAAACAUGAAAACUGUAUUUUAAAAUGUGUGUGUAAAUGUUCAAUGUGUUUGGGUAUUCUUUGUGUUUUUAUAAUAUUUUAUAUUAUUAAACAAACUACAAAGUCAAAUAAUACUCAUAUCUCAUCGGUGGAUAGCAUAGUUUUAUAUUUGCAUCGCCGACCGAUGUCUGAUAUCAAAGCGUGAUGCGACUAAAAGUCUAUAACCGGUGGCUGGUGCCCAGUGUGUAUACUGACCGAAAUUAUUAAUAACCUGCCCCAUGUAUCCUGCCCGACGUUAUCCAGGCCUAUAAAGCUGAUCCUGCACACUUCAUUGCCUGUAAAAAAUUUCAACUCUUAAAAAAAUUGUGAUUGUUAAAUUUCUUUUGGGUGUAACUCGCUGCAGUCAGUGCAACUCAGACAUCCCUGUAGGCAAUCCGUCUACAUAGGAUCGCGGACAAAGUGCGACAGCAUAAUAUCAAGUUUCGUCGGUUAAAUUGAGAUUUACGGACUACGGUGUGGUGAUGGCGGCGCGGAUACGUGUUACACGACUAAUACGCGUUCUCAAAAGACGCCCAACGUUCACUUAUUAAUUCGGCGCUCACCUAUCCACGACUCUUGAUGGCUGCUGAUUUUGAUGGUCGAUCGGUCGUCCUUGAGCUGCGGUAACAGAACGGCCGAAAACCCGACGGUCAUCCCGGAACCGAGUGUCACUAUCAGAGGUCCGGACGCG
Metopolophium dirhodum (rose-grain aphid) is the source of this 726-nucleotide long non-coding RNA. RefSeq lists it as uncharacterized. The transcript has 4 exons. The record is from RefSeq and is a predicted model, not a curated record. Lineage: Eukaryota; Metazoa; Arthropoda; Insecta; Hemiptera; Aphididae.